RNA transcript from Galeopterus variegatus (Sunda flying lemur), 429 nucleotides. It is a transcript of the gene named COMM domain-containing protein 6 pseudogene, with no coding region annotated. The transcript has a single exon. The record is from RefSeq and is a predicted model, not a curated record. NCBI's taxonomy places the organism in Eukaryota, Metazoa, Chordata, Mammalia, Dermoptera, Cynocephalidae.
CCCGGUUGCCUGCCAUGGAGAGGGCUAGCGAGCCGCUGCUGGAUGCUAAGUCAGGGGUCACCAACCAGCUUAUAAAUUUUCAGUGGAAAUUGGGUAUGGCUGUGAGCUCGGACAGUUGCAGAUCUCUUAAGUAUCCUUAUGUUGCAGUGAUGCUAAAAAUGGCAGAUCCUUCAGGCCAAGUAAAGAACAAGUCCUUUGAAAUGACAAUUCCACAAGUUUCAGAAUUUCUACAGACAGUUCAAGGAAAUUGCUGCAGUUAUUGAAACUGUGUAAAAACUUAUUUGGUUGAUAAAUUGCUAUCAUCAUUCUGAAAUCAUGUACUUCAGUUUCUUGCAACAAAACUGGAUAAGAAUCAAAUGAUAUUUAAUGAAUGAAAAUUGCACUUUUGUUUUUUCCAUUUUUUUUAAUAAUAAAAAAUCAGACAAACAG